GACGUACGCUGGCGGCGUGCUUAACACAUGCAAGUCGAACGGAAAGACCCUGCUUUUGUGGGGUGCUCGAGUGGCGAACGGGUGAGUAACACGUGAGUAACCUGCCCUUGACUUUGGGAUAACUUCAGGAAACUGGGGCUAAUACCGGAUAGGAGCUCCUGCUGCAUGGUGGGGGUUGGAAAGUUUCGGCGGUUGGGGAUGGACUCGCGGCUUAUCAGCUUGUUGGUGGGGUAGUGGCUUACCAAGGCUUUGACGGGUAGCCGGCCUGAGAGGGUGACCGGCCACAUUGGGACUGAGAUACGGCCCAGACUCCUACGGGAGGCAGCAGUGGGGAAUAUUGCACAAUGGGCGGAAGCCUGAUGCAGCAACGCCGCGUGCGGGAUGACGGCCUUCGGGUUGUAAACCGCUUUCGCCUGUGACGAAGCGUGAGUGACGGUAAUGGGUAAAGAAGCACCGGCUAACUACGUG
This 468-nucleotide ribosomal RNA is filed under the name uncultured bacterium. RNAcentral's name for it is "partial 16S ribosomal RNA". It matches the Rfam family "Bacterial small subunit ribosomal RNA", at positions 28 to 507 of the family's 1533-position model. The record is from RNAcentral.